This is a non-coding RNA of Hypoxylon crocopeplum, 72 nucleotides long. Lineage: Eukaryota; Fungi; Ascomycota; Sordariomycetes; Xylariales; Hypoxylaceae. The record is from the annotation of a GenBank genome assembly.
UCUCGAUUAGUCUAGUGGUUAGGAUGCAGGCUUGUCACGCCUGAGACCGGGGUUCGAUUCCCCGAUCGAGAG